RNAcentral lists this ribosomal RNA (324 nucleotides) under uncultured Allapsidae. RNAcentral's name for it is "SSU rRNA". The stretch from base 112 to 324 matches the Rfam family "Eukaryotic small subunit ribosomal RNA", at positions 741 to 955 of the family's 1831-position model. The record is from RNAcentral. Lineage: Eukaryota; Cercozoa; Glissomonadida; Viridiraptoridae.
GAUUUCUGGCGAACCGUUGCGGCCCGCGCCCGUCUCGGGCGUGUGUGCCGUGUCGUGUUUGUCAUCCUUCCAGAAAGCUGCGUCUACCAUUCAUUUGGCCGGACGUACGCGAUCUGGAUCGAUUACUUUGAAAAAAUUAGAGUGUUUAAAGCAGGCUUAUGCUGUGAAUACAUUAGCAUGGAAUAAUAAUUUAGGACUUCGGUUCUAUUUUGUUGGUUUCUAGGACUGAAGUAAUGAUUGAUAGGGACAGUUGGGGGUGCUAGUAUUCCGCGGCCAGAGGUGAAAUUCUUGGAUUCGCGGAAGACUAACUACUGCGAAAGCAUU